CCUACGGGGGGCAGCAGUGGGGGAUAUUGCACAAUGGGGGAAACCCUGAUGCAGCGACGCCGCGUGUGGGAAGACGGUCCUCUGGAUUGUAAACCACUGUCCCCAGGGACGAAGAUGACGGUACCUGGGGCGGAAGCUCCGGCUCACUACGUGCCAGCAGCCGCGGUAAUACGUAGGGAGCGAGCGUUGUCCGGAAUUACUGGGUGUAAAGGGAGCGUAGGCGGGACUGGAAGUUGGGGGUAAAAUCUACCGGCCCAAGCGGUAGCCGCACUCAAAACUGCAGUUCUUGAGUGAAGUAGAGGCAGGCGGAAUUCCUGGUGUAGCGGUGGAAUGCGUAGAUAGUAGGAAGAACACCAGUGGCGAAGGCGGCCUGCUGGGCUGUGACUGACGCUGAGGCUCGAAAGUGUGGGGAGCAAACAGGAUUAGAUACCCUUGUAGUC
RNAcentral lists this ribosomal RNA (440 nucleotides) under uncultured bacterium. RNAcentral describes it as "partial 16S ribosomal RNA". It matches the Rfam family "Bacterial small subunit ribosomal RNA", at positions 338 to 795 of the family's 1533-position model. The record is from RNAcentral.